RNAcentral lists this ribosomal RNA (492 nucleotides) under uncultured bacterium. RNAcentral's name for it is "partial 16S ribosomal RNA". It matches the Rfam family "Bacterial small subunit ribosomal RNA", at positions 29 to 507 of the family's 1533-position model. The record is from RNAcentral.
AGUGAACGCUGGCGGUAGGCCUAACACAUGCAAGUCGAACGGCAGCACAGUAAGAGCUUGCUCUUACGGGUGGCGAGUGGCGGACGGGUGAGGAAUACAUCGGAAUCUACUUUUUCGUGGGGGAUAACGUAGGGAAACUUACGCUAAUACCGCAUACGACCUACGGGUGAAAGCAGGGGAUCUUCUGACCUUGCGCGAUUGAAUGAGCCGAUGUCGGAUUAGCUAGUUGGCGGGGUAAAGGCCCACCAAGGCGACGAUCCGUAGCUGGUGUGAGAGGAUGAUCAGCCACACUGGAACUGAGACACGGUCCAGACUACUACGGGAGGCAGCAGUGGGGAAUAUUGGACAAUGGGGGCAAGCCUGAUCCAGCCAUACCGAGUGGGUGAAGAAGGCGUUCGGGUUGUAAAGCCCUUUUGUUGGGAAAGAAAAGCAGCAGGUUAAUACCCCGCUGUUCUGACGGUACCCAAAGAAUAAGCACCGGCUAACUUCGUG